RNAcentral lists this transfer RNA (65 nucleotides) under Lachesilla sp. LaspGHN. Its description in RNAcentral is "tRNA-Leu". The record is from RNAcentral. Lineage: Eukaryota; Metazoa; Arthropoda; Insecta; Psocodea; Lachesillidae.
AUCAUGUUGGCAGAUUAGUGUAUUGAAUUUAGAAUUCAAAUAAGAAAUGAAAAUUUCAUAUGAUA